GUGGCUGUAGUUCAACGGCAGAACGGCGGAUUGUGGAUCCGCUCAUAACGGUUCAAUUCCGUUCAGUCACC
This 71-nucleotide transfer RNA is filed under the name Lachnospiraceae bacterium. RNAcentral's name for it is "tRNA-His". It matches the Rfam family "tRNA". From Rfam's summary of the family: Transfer RNA (tRNA) molecules are approximately 80 nucleotides in length. Their secondary structure includes four short double-helical elements and three loops (D, anti-codon, and T loops). Lineage: Bacteria; Bacillati; Bacillota; Clostridia; Lachnospirales; Lachnospiraceae. The record is from RNAcentral.